This 229-nucleotide unclassified non-coding RNA is filed under the name fungal sp. RNAcentral describes it as "partial internal transcribed spacer region". The stretch from base 1 to 46 matches the Rfam family "Eukaryotic small subunit ribosomal RNA", at positions 1786 to 1831 of the family's 1831-position model. The record is from RNAcentral. Lineage: Eukaryota; Fungi.
AAGUCGUAACAAGGUUUCCGUAGGUGAACCUGCGGAAGGAUCAUUCACAAUAAGUGUUUAAUGGCACUUUCAAAUCCAUUACCCACCUUGUGUGCACUGUAGAUGAGGGAAGAAGACUUGUUCUCCUUUCCCUUGUCAUACUUACAUACCUAUUUUUCUUGAUUGUCUACAAUUUGAGUAAUAAAAAAACUCGAAUACAACUUUCAACAACGGAUCUCUUGGCUCUCGC